RNAcentral lists this ribosomal RNA (378 nucleotides) under uncultured bacterium. Its description in RNAcentral is "bacterial SSU rRNA". It matches the Rfam family "Bacterial small subunit ribosomal RNA", at positions 28 to 407 of the family's 1533-position model. The record is from RNAcentral.
GACGAACGCUGGCGGCGUGCUUAACACAUGCAAGUCGAGCGGUAAGGCCCUUUCGGGGGUACACGAGCGGCGAACGGGUGAGUAACACGUGGGUGACCUGCCCUUAGCUCUGGGAUAAGCCUGGGAAACUGGGUCUAAUACCGGAUAUGACUCCAUGACGCAUGCUGUGGGGUGGAAAGCCUUGUGCGGCUAGGGAUGGGCCCGCGGCCUAUCAGCUUGUUGGUGGGGUGAUGGCCUACCAAGGCGACGACGGGUAGCCGGCCUGAGAGGGCGACCGGCCACACUGGGACUGAGACACGGCCCAGACUCCUACGGGAGGCAGCAGUGGGGAAUCUUGCGCAAUGGGCGAAAGCCUGACGCAGCGACGCCGCGUGGGGA